UACGUAGGGUGCGAGCGUUGUCCGGAAUUAUUGGGCGUAAAGAGCUCGUAGGCGGUGUGUCACGUCGUUCGUGAAAACCUGCAGCUUAACUGUGGGCGUGCGGUCGAUACGGGCAUCACUGGAGUUCGGCAGGGGAGACUGGAAUUCCUGGUGUAGCGGUGAAAUGCGCAGAUAUCAGGAGGAACACCGGUGGCGAAGGCGGGUCUCUGGGCCGAUACUGACGCUGAGGAGCGAAAGCAUGGGUAGCGAACAGG
Molecule: ribosomal RNA, 254 nt
Filed under: uncultured bacterium
Lineage: Bacteria
Description: partial 16S ribosomal RNA
Rfam family: Bacterial small subunit ribosomal RNA
Source: RNAcentral